UGAGUAACCUGCCCUUCACUUCGGGAUAACUCCGGGAAACCGGGGCUAAUACUGGAUAUGACCUGGUGCCGCAUGGUGCUGGGUGGAAAGUUUUUCGGUGGGGGAUGGACUCGCGGCCUAUCAGCUUGUUGGUGAGGUAGUGGCUUACCAAGGCGACGACGGGUAGCCGGCCUGAGAGGGCGAUCGGCCACACUGGGACUGAGACACGGCCCAGACUCCUACGGGAGGCA
Molecule: ribosomal RNA, 230 nt
Filed under: uncultured bacterium
Lineage: Bacteria
Description: partial 16S ribosomal RNA
Rfam family: Bacterial small subunit ribosomal RNA
Source: RNAcentral